GCGGGCGUAGCCAAGAGGUUAAGGCAGUGGAUUGUGGUUCCACCAUUCGUGGGUUCGAGUCCCAUCGUCCGCCCUCCA
RNAcentral lists this transfer RNA (78 nucleotides) under Phormidium willei BDU 130791. Its description in RNAcentral is "tRNA-His". It matches the Rfam family "tRNA". Rfam says of the family: Transfer RNA (tRNA) molecules are approximately 80 nucleotides in length. Lineage: Bacteria; Bacillati; Cyanobacteriota; Cyanophyceae; Oscillatoriales; Oscillatoriaceae. The record is from RNAcentral.